RNAcentral lists this ribosomal RNA (465 nucleotides) under uncultured bacterium. RNAcentral describes it as "partial 16S ribosomal RNA". It matches the Rfam family "Bacterial small subunit ribosomal RNA", at positions 28 to 507 of the family's 1533-position model. The record is from RNAcentral.
GACGAACGCUGGCGGCGUGCUUAACACAUGCAAGUCGAACGGAAAGGCCCCUUUGUUGGUACUCGCGCGGCGAACGGGUGAGUAACACGUGCGUAACCUGCCCUUGACUUCGGGAUAACUUCAGUAAACUGGGGCUAAUACCGGAUAGGAAUCCUUUCUUCCUGCUGGGGGUUGGAUAGCUUCGGCGGUUUGGGAUGGACUCGCGGCUUAUCAGCUUGCUGGUGGGGUAGUGGGUUACCUAGGCUUUGUCGGGUAGCCGGCCUGGGAGGGCGACCGGCCACAAUGGGACUGAGAUACGGCCCAGACUCCUACGGGGAGGAGCAGGGGGGAAUAAUGCACAAUGGGCGGAAGCCGGGUGCAGCAACGCCGCGUGCGGGAUGACGGCCUUCGGGUUGUAAAACGCUUUCAGCAGGGGAGAAGCUUGUGGUGACGGUACCUGCAGAAGAAGCACCGGCUAACUACGUG